GGAAACCCAAGUAGCACCGGGCCCGUGAAAUCUGGUGUGAAUCUGUCGGGACCACCCGAUAAGCCUGAAUACUCCCUGGUGACCGAUAGCGGACUAGUACCGUGAGGGAAAGGUGAAAAGUACCCCGGGAGGGGAGUGAAAUAGUACCUGAAACCGUGCGCUUACAAUCCGUCAGAGCCUUCGAGCAGUUUACUGCUGGGGGUGAUGGCGUGCCUUUUGAAGAAUGAGCCUGCGAGUCAGGGACACGUCGCGAGGUUAACCCGUGUGGGGUAGCCGUAGCGAAAGCGAGUCUGAAUAGGGCGCCCAUAGUGGCGUGUUCUGGACCCGAAGCGGAGUGAUCUACCCAUGGCCAGGGUGAAGCGGCGGUAAGACGCCGUGGAGGCCCGAACCCACUUAGGUUGAAGACUGAGGGGAUGAGCUGUGGGUAGGGGUGAAAGGCCAAUCAAACUCCGUGAUAGCUGGUUCUCCCCGAAAUGCAUUUAGGUGCAGCGUCGCGUGUUUCUUGUUGGAGGUAGAGCUACUGGAUGGCCGAUGGGCCCUACUAGGUUACUGACGUCAGCCAAACUCCGAAUGCCAAUAAGUUAGAGCGCGGCAGUGAGACGGCGGGGGAGAAGCUCCGUACGUCGAGAGGGAAACAGCCCAGAUCGCCGGCUAAGGCCCCUAAGCGUGUACUAAGUGGAAAAGGAUGUGCAGUCGCGAAGACAACCAGGAGGUUGGCUUAGAAGCAGCCACCCUUGAAAGAGUGCGUAAUAGCUCACUGGUCAAGUGAUUGUGCGCCGACAAUGUAGCGGGGCUCAAGUACACCGCCGAAGCCGCGGCAUUCAUGCAAUACAUUCCCUUCGGGGCAGUGGCAUGGAUGGGUAGGGGAGCGUCCUGCACCCAGCGAAGCUGCGAAGUAAUUCAGCAGUGGAGGGUGCGGGAGUGAGAAUGCAGGCAUGAGUAGCGACAGGCAAGUGAGAAACUUGCCCGCCGAAUGACCAAGGGUUCCUGGGCCAGGCUAGUCCUCCCAGGGUAAGUCGGGACCUAAGGCGAGGCCGACAGGCGUAGUCGAUGGACAACGGGUUGAUAUUCCCGUACCCGUGUGUGCGCGCCCAUGAUGAAUCAUCGGUACUAACCACCCAAAAGGUUCUAGAUCAAUCUCUUCGGAGUGCGACGUGAACCCGCUGCGUGGGACCUUCGGUGGUAGUAGUCAAGCGAUGGGGUGACGCAGGAAGGUAGCUGUACCGGUUAGUGGUUAUACCGGAGCAAGCCCGUAGGACGACAUCUAGGCAAAUCCGGGUGUCAUACGUCUGAGAGGUGACGCAUAGCCGAUUGAGGCGAAUUCAGUGAUCCUAUGCUGCCAAGAAAAGCCUCUAGUGAGUUCACACACGGCCCGUACCCCAAACCAACACAGGUGGUCAGGUAGAGAAUACUAAGGCGUACGAGAUAACUAUGGUUAAGGAACUCGGCAAAAUACCCCCGUAACUUCGGGAGAAGGGGGACCUCGCUUGGUGACCGGACUUGCUCCGUGAGCUGAACGAGGUCGCAGAGACCAGUGAGAAGCGACUGUUUACUAAAAACACAGGUCCGUGCGAAGUCGCAAGACGAUGUAUACGGACUGACGCCUGCCCGGUGCUGGAAGGUUAAGAGGACCCGUUAACCCUUGGGUGAAGCGGAGAAUUUAAGCCCCAGUAAACGGCGGUGGUAACUAUAACCAUCCUAAGGUAGCGAAAUUCCUUGUCGGGUAAGUUCCGACCUGCACGAAUGGCGUAACGACUUCUCAACUGUCUCAACCAUAGACUCGGCGAAAUUGCACUACGAGUAAAGAUGCUCGUUACGCGCGGCAGGACGAAAAGACCCCGGGACCUUCACUAUAGCUUGGUAUUGGCGUUUGGUUCGGUUUGUGUAGGAUAGGUGGGAGACUGUGAAGCAGGCACGCCAGUGUUUGUGGAGUCAUCGUUGAAAUACCACUCUGAUCGUAUUGAACCUCUAACCUCGGACCGUAUAUCCGGUCCAGGGACAGUGCCUGGUGGGUAGUUUAACUGGGGCGGUUGCCUCCCAAAAUGUAACGGAGGCGCCCAAAGGUUCCCUCAACCUGGACGGCAAUCAGGUGUUGAGUGCAAGUGCACAAGGGAGCUUGACUGCGAGACCUACAAGUCAAGCAGGGACGAAAGUCGGGACUAGUGAUCCGGCACCUCUGAGUGGAAGGGGUGUCGCUCAACGGAUAAAAGUUACUCUAG
Molecule: ribosomal RNA, 2219 nt
Filed under: Staphylococcus capitis
Lineage: Bacteria; Bacillati; Bacillota; Bacilli; Caryophanales; Staphylococcaceae
Description: partial 23S ribosomal RNA
Rfam family: Bacterial large subunit ribosomal RNA
Source: RNAcentral